Molecule: ribosomal RNA, 648 nt
Filed under: Escherichia coli
Lineage: Bacteria; Pseudomonadati; Pseudomonadota; Gammaproteobacteria; Enterobacterales; Enterobacteriaceae
Description: partial 23S ribosomal RNA
Rfam family: Bacterial large subunit ribosomal RNA
Source: RNAcentral
CCAUCAUUUAAAGAAAGCGUAAUAGCUCACUGGUCGAGUCGGCCUGCGCGGAAGAUGUAACGGGGCUAAACCAUGCACCGAAGCUGCGGCAGCGACGCUUAUGCGUUGUUGGGUAGGGGAGCGUUCUGUAAGCCUGUGAAGGUGUGCUGUGAGGCAUGCUGGAGGUAUCAGAAGUGCGAAUGCUGACAUAAGUAACGAUAAAGCGGGUGAAAAGCCCGCUCGCCGGAAGACCAAGGGUUCCUGUCCAACGUUAAUCGGGGCAGGGUGAGUCGACCCCUAAGGCGAGGCCGAAAGGCGUAGUCGAUGGGAAACAGGUUAAUAUUCCUGUACUUGGUGUUACUGCGAAGGGGGGACGGAGAAGGCUAUGUUGGCCGGGCGACGGUUGUCCCGGUUUAAGCGUGUAGGCUGGUUUUCCAGGCAAAUCCGGAAAAUCAAGGCUGAGGCGUGAUGACGAGGCACUACGGUGCUGAAGCAACAAAUGCCCUGCUUCCAGGAAAAGCCUCUAAGCAUCAGGUAACAUCAAAUCGUACCCCAAACCGACACAGGUGGUCAGGUAGAGAAUACCAAGGCGCUUGAGAGAACUCGGGUGAAGGAACUAGGCAAAAUGGUGCCGUAACUUCGGGAGAAGGCACGCUGAUAUGUAGGUGA